CUAGGGGUGAGUCUGUGGUAGCCUCUACUAUCACUGGCAGCCCCAGGACUGAAUGUCUGCACGGGGUUCAUGAAGCUGGAGUCUGGCACGUGUCAGGGGCCUGGACGAGGAUGAAGAGAGCGGGGGUGAUGACCUGGAAGUCCACUUGCUAUAGGCAGCUCUGUGAGGAGUGCAUUGUUCUUAUCUCUGUUUUUACAAAUGGGGUGACUGAGGCCCAGAGAAGAUCGACCUUACAUGGUUUAAAUCUGCGGGAUCUGAAUGUCACAGAACACAAGCAACUUGCCCAAGGUCACACAACCAGUAAAUCGUGGAGCAAGGAUUCAAACCGAAGUCCACCUUAGGUCAAACUCAUGGCUCCACACUUUCUUCUUAUACUGAAUGGUGAUCAUCUCUAACGCCCAUAUAGAUGUCUUAAUUCUACCUUCUGUGGUUGCACAGGACAAGCUUGCUUGCUUUUUCACCCAUUAGCCAUCCUGACUGAUGCUGGAUGACAUCUUUACUUUCUAAGUCUUGGCUCUUCCAGGUGUAGAAUUCCCAGUUUCUCCAACUCUUCUUGAUGGGAUGUGGCUGUCAGGUGGUCCAUGGCCCUGUCAUCCACCUUGUCACAUGAAUCACAGGGUGACGGAUCAUCAGGCUAGAGGUGUACAGAAGUGGGCUCUGUUUCAGUUCCGAAUUUGCUAGCUGUGUUUCAUCACUUACCUCGUCUCUUCUUCACAAAUACGACGUAAUUCUCAGGAUUGUUUUAAGAAUACAGAAUACGUAACUUGGGAUGUGUGCUAUUUCCUUAGAAAAAGGUAGAUAAAGUUCUUGGAUGUCCGAGGUAGUGUUAUUUCUAACAGCCCAACAGCUAAAAGAAAACCCGUUCAUAAUAAAACAGAAACUAGUACUAACCUAGAGUCACAGCAAGGGAAUGGGUAAGUAAUAGUGGUACAUUAGUUUCAUGGAAUGUCAGGCAGACGUUUAAAUUUCUCUUGAAAAAAAUGCCUAUGAUAAAAUGCUAACUAAAACAAGCAAGAUAUGCCAAUUACACAUCAAUAAAGCUGGAAAAAAAACCCAAACAAGAUAUAAAACCUUAUCUCUAGUAAGAUCCCAAGUCCGCAGGAAGACUGGAGUAAAAUACAUCCCAACACUAAGAAUAAUUGCGUCAACAAUUGUCUUAAGACGAUGGGCUUGUGGAUUGCACGCGUGUGCGUGUGCGCAUGCACUUCUUGAUGUUUUUCUGUUUUCCAUGUUUUCUGCAAUGAGCAUGGGUCACUUUGUAAAUCAGCACAAAAUACGGGGCUCAGAAUGCAGCACGAAAACAACCCCUAACUAGGGCCUCACUGGACCUAAGACCAGUUAGUGCCUUUUCAAAACCCAUUUGUUUUGUUUUGUUCUUUUUUUCCUGCUGUGCCAAAGUGCCAUUUCAGCGUCUCUCCUCUGCUCACUCAUCUCUUUUGGCGUCACUAUCUUGAUACGACUGACUCAAAGAGGAAGCCAAUACAAUAGACUAAAGCCAGCCUGUAGGAACCGCCCGGGCUCAUGUUGCAAAUAGGAUGUGCUGAGAUAGUCUUUCCAAAAAAAAAAAACAACAAAAAAACAAACCCAAACUAACACCCUCUUUAGCAUCUCAUGGAACAAAUAGCAUAGUGGGAAGGCUACUUCCAAGGUGGUCUUCUGGACUUGGCACCUGCUCCUGGAGGGUCAGCUGUCCUGGGCAUGCUGGGCCAGACUGGGCAGGGCGAGUUGGCACAUGAAUGAGCCUGGUCUAAGAUACCAUCGGGUGACCUGGGCACAACUGAGUCUUAUCGGGACAGCUCCGUAAGUUAUGUCUUCUGGGCCUGAUAAUGUUAUAACUGAUGGCCUCUAAGAAAAGUGCUGCCUCCCACUUGCUGGGGAGGGCAGCAGGGGAAGGGUAAGGAAGAGGAUGUUUUCUGGAGAGGCUUCAGUUGCCUGUUCAGAGUAGCAGCAGGAUGCUGAGUCCUCUGUGAGCAUUGGUGUGGCUGGUUCUGAAAAUGGCAGAAGCGUCUCCUCUUUCCUCUCCUGCUGUUGGAGCAGCCAGCACUGGGGACUUCACUUUUCUCUGUUUAUACAACGAAACUGCAUGAGAAGGAAUGGACGCAGACAUUAGAGGGUGCAUCCUCUUUGUUAUUACCGCAGGGAAAGAGCCAAGGUCUUGCCAAGGUCGUCCAGGCAACAAGGCAGGAUUAGAACCUCACAGUUCACUUUUGUCCAUUAGAGCAUAUGAGGGAGAACUGGGAAUUUACCCCACAAUUCCUCCUCAUGAUACCCAUGCUAAUGAUUUCUGCCAUCUGGUCAGUGUCUGCUGUGUGCUGGGCAUCAGGCAGUCAUUUAGAAACAUUCUAUCUGUUAUGGGCCGAAUCGGGUUCUCCCCCAUAUUUAUAUUUUGAUGUUCUGUACCCCAGUACCUCAGAAAUGUGGCUGUAUUUAGACAUAGGGCCUUUCAAGAGAUCAUUCAAUUAAAUGGAGAUCAUGAGGGUGAACGUUAAUCUCCCAUGCCUGAUGUCCUUAUAAGAAGAGGAAAUUAGCACACAGGGAAGACCAUGUGAAGAUGCAGGGAACAGGCCAUCAUCUGUAAAUCAGGAGGAGAGGCCUCAGAGGAGACCAACUCUACUGGCACCUUAAUCUUAAGCAUCCAGCUUCCAGAACUGUGGGAAAAUGAGUUUCUGUUGCUGAAGCCAGCCAGCCUGUGGCACUUUGUCAUGGCAGCCCAAGAUGACUAAAACUACACCAUCCUAACCAUGGCCCUGCCAGUAGGGAGCCUCAGUCCCAAGUGCCAGAUGAGGACAUUCAACCUCAGAGUAGAAAAAAAAAUUGUCCAAGGCCACAGUUAAUAAGAAAACUCGAUUAGAACCCAGUCUCAUUGAAACCUAGAGCUUGAGCAUCUCUCUUAGAAGAAAUGGGACCAUUUCUGAGACAGUGUAUUGCUAACUGUGCAUGGUUGUUUAAUGAACACAGCAUCACGAGGCCUCAUGAUUACUUUGGCUGUGGUAAGUGGCAGUCCCUUAUAGGAAAUUCCAGGUGGAGUCUGGUCCUCCAGAAGGCCACUUCCUGGGGAUGCUUUGCUCUUCAGUCCCAGGGGCCCACCUUUGGGCUGGAGCAGGGUCUCCCCGAUCUGUCUCCCCAUUGCAGGGCCUUGUGAGACAGCAGACUUGGAGCCAGGGCCCUGGGACUCCAUUUCUCUCCAUCUGCCAGUCUGGCGGGUGACCUUGGGCAAAGGACACCGUCUCUCUGGGCAUUUGAGUCUGACCUUCACCCAUUCUGAUUGCUUUGACAAAUUCUGCUACCAGCUUCUUGGUGGCAUUUUAGGGUGUAAGCACUGAUAUUUUCCUAUAGGCAACCUAAUCCCAUGGCCAAUCACAGCCAGCUUUUAUUAGACUUUCCACCUCCUGCUUUUUGCCUCCUGCUGCUGGCUCAUACCUUAGAUCUUGGCUCAGCUGUCACUUCCUCAGGGAAGCCUUCUCAGCCUGGACCAGCUUCCCUUGUUAGUAGCUAGGUUAUCUCCGUAGUGGACACACAGUUUCCGGACGCAUCCCUCCCAGAGCCAAAACCUCUGCCGGGCGUGUAGUGGACUCUUAACAGACACUGAUGCACAAGUCCAUAUGCUCUUUUAUUGCCCUGCCCUGGGCUUUCCCUUCAUAGUAUUGAUCAUAACUUUAAAUGAUAUAGUUGAUUGAUGUCUGUCUCCCUGUCCCUGGCUCUAGGCUGAAACUCCAUGAGGGCAAGAUCUUUGCUUUGCUGGCCAUUCCGUUCUCAGCCCCCAGCCAUGCCUCAAAUGGAGGAGGCACUGUAAGAAUAUUAGUCGCAUAAAAUUCAAUGAAGGAGAUUGAGAGGUCAGAGGGGUUUUGAUUCAUUCAAAAGACAUGGUCCCCAAGUGACUUUUCAGGCUGUAGGAGAGCUCCCUCUACGCCAUUCACUGCUUUAGUCCAUUCAACAAACCUUUACCCAUCCAUCUCCUCUUGUGCUAGGCAAUGCAUUUACCAAAGCAUUAAGAAUUUUUCUCUUCUAGGGAUUGCAAUGAAUCUGUAGAUUGCCUUGAGUAGUAUGGCCAUUUUAACAAUAUUGACUCUUCCAAUCCAAGAACACGGUAUUUCUUUCCAUCUGUUUGUGUUGUCUUCAGUUUCUUUCAUCAGUGUCUUAUAGUUUUCAGAGUAGAGGCUACUGGGUAGCACAGGAAACUGUAGUCAAUUUCUUGUAAUACCAUAUAAUGGAAAAAAUCUGAAAAGAAAAUAUUUGUGUAUGUACACGUAUAACUGAAUUGCUUUGCUGUAU
Molecule: long non-coding RNA, 4272 nt
Organism: Camelus dromedarius (Arabian camel)
Lineage: Eukaryota; Metazoa; Chordata; Mammalia; Artiodactyla; Camelidae
Exons: 3
Source: RefSeq, a predicted model, not a curated record